CAGGCCCAAGGCGCAGAAAAAGACCUCAAAUAAAUCACCAAAUAAGAGGAGUUCUGGCCCGGAAAGGAGGUCCUCUAACCAAGGGGAAGAGGAGUCAGAAUCUGGGACUGAGGAAUAUGAUGACGAUGAUGAAGACAAGCAUGCAGAGGAGCAUCCGCCGCCACCAGCCAUGUCAUCCUGGUCCAGUGACCAUAAUUACAUUGCAGUAACGCCAGAAAAGACUACACCCAUAUCAGCAUCUGUGUUAAACAAAACGUGUAUGUAUCUCUCUGAGGGUUUUCCACAUUUUUUUGACCUGUCUCUACCAAUGAUGGGUGUGUUGAACUGUCAAGAACAACAGAUUCACAAAUUAAAAAAAGCAGCUCUUUUCUGGUG
Sinocyclocheilus rhinocerous is the source of this 375-nucleotide long non-coding RNA. RefSeq lists it as uncharacterized. The transcript is spliced from 2 exons. Lineage: Eukaryota; Metazoa; Chordata; Actinopteri; Cypriniformes; Cyprinidae. The record is from RefSeq and is a predicted model, not a curated record.